Small nuclear RNA from Cynocephalus volans (Philippine flying lemur), 104 nucleotides. The record is from RefSeq and is a predicted model, not a curated record. NCBI's taxonomy places the organism in Eukaryota, Metazoa, Chordata, Mammalia, Dermoptera, Cynocephalidae.
GUGCUUGCUUCGGUAGCACAUAUACUAAAAUUAGAAUAAUAUAGAGAUUGGUAUGGCCCCUGUGCUAGGAUUACAUGUGAAUUCAUGAAGCAUUCCAUAUUUAC